GGGAGCUCAGCUCAGUGUUCUGUGAUGAUCUGAAGGGGUGGGAUGGAGAGGGUGGCUCAAGAGGGAGGAGGUAUAUGUGUAGCUGAUUCACUUGUUUGUACAGCAGAAACUAACACAAUGGUAUAAAGCAAUUCUACUCCAAUAAAAAAUGUUAUUGUAGUUCUUUGUUUUGUAAACAAAAUAAAACAUGUUUUUAAAAUCGGGAGUGGGGAGGAAGACUCCUGUCAAGAAGACAGUGGGUGCUAAAACACGUGAUAUAGCCUCGUUCCAGAAGAAUCUUGCUUGGGAGAGAUGUUGAAGACUCCACCAGGCUCGGAGUAGCCAUCAAGAAGGACACGCUCCACACAAGCAGGACCCAGCUAAGUGCUCUGAUACGGAAGUGGCUGGAGCAGCCACCCUUCAAAAGGGAUCCCAGCCCAAAGCUGCUGAUGAGGACAAUGGCGAAACUGAUCACUUCAGUCCAAGGUUGAUGAACAUGUGUUGGGUUCCUAAGUGAACUUAACCUUGCCCCAAGUGAGGAAAUGUGCACUGCAGAAUUGUGGACUAUUCUAAUGUCUUUAAUCACCUUGAUUCUUAACACUCCCGCCACCACCACACAUCAAAACUCACUGGCUACCUAGCUGGAUAGCCGUUAAAUAAAACCUAACCAGAGAAAGUCUUGGCUUCCUUUAUGUUACAUAAUACUUUAUCUAUUAACAUCUAUAUCGUUGCCAACCUCCUUCCUAUUCAGUGGGAUGAUAACAACCUGCUUUCUGACCACCCACUGUAGAAAUUUCCUCAAGUUUCUGAU
Long non-coding RNA from Bos taurus (domestic cattle), 790 nucleotides. NCBI's taxonomy places the organism in Eukaryota, Metazoa, Chordata, Mammalia, Artiodactyla, Bovidae. The record is from Ensembl.